GUGCCAGCAGCCGCGGUAAUACCGGCAGCCCGAGUGAUGGCCGAUCUUAUUGGGCCUAAAGCGUCCGUAGCUGGCCGCGCAAGUCCAUCGGAAAAUCCACCCGCCCAACGGGUGGGCGUCCGGUGGAAACUGCGUGGCUUGGGACCGGAAGGCUCAGAGAGUACGUCCGGGGUAGGAGUGAAAUCCCGUGAUCCUGGACGGACCGCCGGUGGCGAAAGCGCCUCGGAAGAACGGACUCGACAGUGAGGGACGAAAGCUAGGGUCUCGAACCGGAUUAGAAACCCCGAGUCC
This 291-nucleotide ribosomal RNA is filed under the name uncultured bacterium. Its description in RNAcentral is "partial 16S ribosomal RNA". It matches the Rfam family "Archaeal small subunit ribosomal RNA", at positions 455 to 747 of the family's 1478-position model. The record is from RNAcentral.